This 782-nucleotide ribosomal RNA is filed under the name uncultured Actinomycetales bacterium. Its description in RNAcentral is "bacterial SSU rRNA". It matches the Rfam family "Bacterial small subunit ribosomal RNA", at positions 45 to 842 of the family's 1533-position model. Lineage: Bacteria; Bacillati; Actinomycetota; Actinomycetes; Actinomycetales. The record is from RNAcentral.
GGCCUAACACAUGCAAGUCGAACGAUGAAGCCUUUCGGGGUGAAUUAGUGGCGAACGGGUGAGUAACACGUGGGCAAUCUGCCCUUCACUCUGGGACAAGCCCUGGAAACGGGGUCUAAUACCGGAUAACACUCUGGCCCGCAUGGGACGGGGUUGAAAGCUCCGGCGGUGAAGGAUGAGCCCGCGGCCUAUCAGCUUGUUGGUGAGGUAAUGGCCCACCAAGGCGACGACGGGUAGCCGACCCGAGAGGGUGACCGGCCACACUGGGACUGAGACACGGCCCAGACUCCUACGGGAGGCAGCAGUGGGGAAUAUUGCACAAUGGGCGAAAGCCUGAUGCAGCGACGCCGCGUGAGGGAUGACGGCCUUCGGGUUGUAAACCUCUUUCAGCAGGGACGAAGCGCAAGUGACGGUACCUGCAGAAGAAGCACCGGCUAACUACGUGCCAGCAGCCGCGGUAAUACGUAGGGUGCAAGCGUUGUCCGGAAUUACUGGGCGUAAAGAGUUCGUAGGCGGUUUGUCGCGUCGGUUGUGAAAACCCGGAGGCUCAACUGCUGGCUUGCAGGCGAUACGGGCAGACUUGAGUGCUGCAGGGGAGACUGGAAUUCCUGGUGUAGCGGUGAAAUGCGCAGAUAUCAGGAGGAACACCGGUGGCGAAGGCGGAUCUCUGGGCAGUAACUGACGCUGAGGAACGAAAGCGUGGGUAGCGAACAGGAUUAGAUACCCUGGUAGUCCACGCCGUAAACGGUGGGCGCUAGGUGUGGGUUCCUUCCACGGAAUCC